RNAcentral lists this ribosomal RNA (253 nucleotides) under uncultured bacterium. RNAcentral's name for it is "partial 16S ribosomal RNA". It matches the Rfam family "Bacterial small subunit ribosomal RNA", at positions 524 to 776 of the family's 1533-position model. The record is from RNAcentral.
UACGUAGGUGGCAAGCGUUGUCCGGAUUUACUGGGCGUAAAGAGCGCGCAGGCGGUCGGAUAAGUCGAAUGUGAAAGCCCCCGGCUCAACUGGGGAGGGUCAUUCGAUACUGUUCGACUCGAAGGCAGGAGAGGGAAGUGGAAUUCCCGGUGUAGUGGUGAAAUGCGUAGAGAUCGGCAGGAACACCCAGGGGGAAACCAGUCGACUGGGCAUCUACUGACGCUGAGGUGCGAGAGCGUGGGGAGCGAACCGG